GAGAAAGACGUGGACGCGUGUAUUUAGGUCACCUUCCUCAUCUCCGUCCGCCGGCCCAAAAAUCCACCUUCUCCUCUGUUCUCCUUCUCUCCCAAGCCGCCCCCAUGCCGAUUCAGCCCCAACCUGCAGCCUCCUUCUCUCCCUAGCCGCCCCAUGCCGAUUCAGCCCCAACCUGCAGCAUGCAAGGAGCAAGGGGGAACUAGAUCGGCCCCAACAGGGCAAGAUCCCCGUGCACCAGAUCUAUCAUCCCCAUCGUGGGAGCAGCCAUGGCCUCCCUGAAUCCUUUUGUCCAUCCAAAGGAUCUGCGCCGACGAGCACAGGGCGAGGUCCUGGUGCACCGGAUCCGUCGCCCCCCACUACAGGAGGAGCCAUGGCAUCCGGUUCACCGUGCGUUCUGCCCUUCUCCAAGAAUGGAUCUACGCCGACGACCCCAUACUGCCCAAGGUCCAUUCUCCCACCAUGCUUCCACCACUAUCAAGGAAACUGAGAGAUGUGCAUCUACACAAUAUAUUUGCUCAGCUCAUCAUGGUCUCAACUAAGUCGUGAAGCUGCUUGUUUGACCAAUUGACCAACAUGUAGAUCUUGGCGCACGACAGAGUUACCGUGUGGUGUGACCGGGGCUUCUUCCACUAUGACCCCUCCUGCCCUGCCUCUUCGGUGGCCCCGAUUCUUCUUCCACUCUGGGAUAGCUCGUGGAUAUGGUACAUCAUCAUCACCGAUGAAGAGGAGAAGGGGUUUAUCGUGUCAGGAAAGGUGUGUGGUGGUAGGCUUGGUCUCCGGCCUCGGCAUCUUCCGUUGGCCCCGGUGCCGCGCGGCUGAGGCGAUGUUGUUUGGCAUCAGCUACAAAAUAGCCAUGUUAUUUACAGGUUAUUGCCGACAUGAGGUCUAUAUGUCCAUGAUUGUUGUGCUACUGUUAAUAUGAUGCAGAUUUUUGUGUUCUUACGUAAGCUGCCUAUUUUUUAUAUUUUAUCUAAGUGCCGAACUUGUGAUUCUUAUACUCAGCCUCAUGUUUUGUGAGCCAGAUGUUCCUCUUUAAGACCUGGAUGGGCAACCUGUUGCAAGUGCUCAAGGGGUGUUCAGAGCAUAUACUUCUCAAGGCCAACAUUGUGAUGCAUGUGUAGUUAGUUUAGAAGUGUUUUGGUAUAGCAACACGAGCUAAUAUGUAGUUUGGUCUGUAGUUCAUUGUAUAUGCAAGUCGAAUUGUCCUAACCAUUUUAUGAAACUUAAUCUAGCUUUUUAUUGGAUUGCUGGGUGGUAUGAAUAUGUUGUAUGAUGAAUAAUUUUGAAUUAUGGUUGGUAUAAAUCCAAAUUUGGCAUG
Molecule: long non-coding RNA, 1318 nt
Organism: Triticum dicoccoides
Lineage: Eukaryota; Viridiplantae; Streptophyta; Magnoliopsida; Poales; Poaceae
Exons: 4
Source: RefSeq, a predicted model, not a curated record